This is a small nucleolar RNA of Tachyglossus aculeatus (Australian echidna), 138 nucleotides long. Lineage: Eukaryota; Metazoa; Chordata; Mammalia; Monotremata; Tachyglossidae. The record is from RefSeq and is a predicted model, not a curated record.
ACCCUCUCAGGAUGGCAACUGGAGAGUUUCCAGUACUCUACCAGUCUCGACUACAGGAAGGAGAUUCAAGCAGAGGCCUACCCAUUCCAUUCCUAGCUUGGCCAGUGGCUAGCGAGUGGAAGGCGAUCGGCUACAAGU